AUCCAACUGACGAGUCCCGAAUAGGACGAAACGCGCGUCCUGGAU
Schistosoma rodhaini is the source of this 45-nucleotide non-coding RNA. The record is from Rfam. Lineage: Eukaryota; Metazoa; Platyhelminthes; Trematoda; Strigeidida; Schistosomatidae.